This 325-nucleotide ribosomal RNA is filed under the name uncultured soil bacterium. RNAcentral describes it as "bacterial SSU rRNA". It matches the Rfam family "Bacterial small subunit ribosomal RNA", at positions 26 to 349 of the family's 1533-position model. The record is from RNAcentral.
AGAUUGAACGCUGGCGGCAUGCCUUACACAUGCAAGUCGAACGGUAACGCGGGGCAACCUGGCGACGAGUGGCGAACGGGUGAGUAAUGCAUCGGAACGUGCCCAAUAGUGGGGGAUAGCUCGGCGAAAGCCGGAUUAAUACCGCAUACGACCUACGGGUGAAAGCGGGGGAUCGCAAGACCUCGCGCUAAGUGGAGCGGCCGAUGUCAGAUUAGGUUGUUGGUAGGGUAAAAGCCUAACCAAGCCGACGAGUCUGUAGCGUGGUCUGAGAGGACGACCAGCCACGACCGGACUGAGACGACGGCCCAGACUCCGUACGGGAGGC